AACGAACGCUGGCGGCAUGCCUAACACAUGCAAGUCGAACGAGACCUUCGGGUCUAGUGGCGCACGGGUGCGUAACGCGUGGGAACCUGCCCUUAGGUUCGGAAUAACUCCCCGAAAGGGGUGCUAAUACCGGAUAAUGUCUUCGGACCAAAGAUUUAUCGCCUUUGGAUGGGCCCGCGUUGGAUUAGCUAGUUGGUAGGGUAAAAGCCUACCAAGGCGACGAUCCAUAGCUGGUCUGAGAGGAUGAUCAGCCACACUGGGACUGAGACACGGCCCAGGCUCCUACGGGAGGCAACAGUGGGGAAUAUUGGACAAUGGGCGAAAGCCUGAUCCAGCAAUGCCGCGUGAGUGAUGAAGGCCUUAGGGUUGUAAAGCUCUUUUACCCGGGAUGAUAAUGACAGUACCGGGAGAAUAAGCUCCGGCUAACUCCGUG
This 433-nucleotide ribosomal RNA is filed under the name uncultured bacterium. RNAcentral's name for it is "partial 16S ribosomal RNA". It matches the Rfam family "Bacterial small subunit ribosomal RNA", at positions 29 to 507 of the family's 1533-position model. The record is from RNAcentral.